This 1435-nucleotide ribosomal RNA is filed under the name uncultured organism. Its description in RNAcentral is "16S ribosomal RNA". It matches the Rfam family "Bacterial small subunit ribosomal RNA". The record is from RNAcentral.
CGGCGUGCCUAACACAUGCAAGUCGAACGAAGCGAUUAAGAUGAAGUUUUCGGAUGGAAUCUUGAUUGACUGAGUGGCGGACGGGUGAGUAACGCGUGGAUAACCUGCCUCACACUGGGGGAUAACAGUUAGAAAUGACUGCUAAUACCGCAUAAGCGCACAGUGCCGCAUGGCAGUGUGUGAAAAACUCCGGUGGUGUGAGAUGGAUCCGCGUCUGAUUAGCCAGUUGGCGGGGUAACGGCCCACCAAAGCGACGAUCAGUAGCCGGCCUGAGAGGGUGACCGGCCACAUUGGGACUGAGACACGGCCCAAACUCCUACGGGAGGCAGCAGUGGGGAAUAUUGCACAAUGGGCGAAAGCCUGAUGCAGCGACGCCGCGUGAGUGAAGAAGUAUUUCGGUAUGUAAAGCUCUAUCAGCAGGGAAGAAAAUGACGGUACCUGACUAAGAAGCCCCGGCUAACUACGUGCCAGCAGCCGCGGUAAUACGUAGGGGGCAAGCGUUAUCCGGAUUUACUGGGUGUAAAGGGAGCGUAGACGGCGAAGCAAGUCUGAAGUGAAAACCCAGGGCUCAACCCUGGGACUGCUUUGGAAACUGUUUUGCUAGAGUGUCGGAGAGGUAAGUGGAAUUCCUAGUGUAGCGGUGAAAUGCGUAGAUAUUAGGAGGAACACCAGUGGCGAAGGCGGCUUACUGGACGAUAACUGACGUUGAGGCUCGAAAGCGUGGGGAGCAAACAGGAUUAGAUACCCUGGUAGUGCACGCCGUAAACGAUGAAUGCUAGGUGUUGGGGGGCAAAGCCCUUCGGUGCCGCCGCAAACGCAGUAAGCAUUCCACCUGGGGAGUACGUUCGCAAGAAUGAAACUCAAAGGAAUUGACGGGGACCCGCACAAGCGGUGGAGCAUGUGGUUUAAUUCGAAGCAACGCGAAGAACCUUACCAAGUCUUGACAUCCCCCUGACGGGCCGGUAACGCGGCCUUUCCUUCGGGACAGGGGAGACAGGUGGUGCAUGGUUGUCGUCAGCUCGUGUCGUGAGAUGUUGGGUUAAGUCCCGCAACGAGCGCAACCCUUAUCCUUAGUAGCCAGCAGGCAGAGCUGGGCACUCUAGGGAGAUUGCCAGGGAUAACCUGGAGGAAGGUGGGGAUGACGUCAAAUCAUCAUGCCCCUUAUGAUUUGGGCUACACACGUGCUACAAUGGCGUAAACAAAGGGAAGCGAGACAGUGAUGUGGAGCAAAUCCCAAAAAUAACGUCCCAGUUCGGACUGUAGUCUGCAACCCGACUACACGAAGCUGGAAUCGCUAGUAACCGCGAAUCAGAAUGUCGCGGUGAAUACGUUCCCGGGUCUUGUACACACCGCCCGUCACACCAUGGGAGUCAGCAACGCCCGAAGUCAGUGACCCAACCGAAAGGAGGGAGCUGCCGAAGGCGGGGCAGGUAAC